GAUGAAGAACGUAGCGAAAUGCGAUAAGUAAUGUGAAUUGCAGAAUUCCGUGAAUCAUCGAAUCUUUGAACGCACAUUGCGCCCCCUGGCAUUCCGGGGGGCAUGCCUGUCCGAGCGUCAUUUCUGCCCUCAAGCACGGCUUGUGUGUUGGGUGUGGUCCCCCCGGGGACCUGCCCGAAAGGCAGCGGCGACGUCCGUCUGGUCCUCGAGCGUAUGGGGCUCUGUCACUCGCUCGGGAAGGACCUGCGGGGGUUGGUCACCACUAUAUUUUACCACGGUUGACCUCGGAUCAGGUAGGAGUUACCCGCUGAACUUAAGCAUAUCAAUAAGCGGAGGA
Molecule: unclassified non-coding RNA, 337 nt
Filed under: soil metagenome
Description: partial contains 5.8S ribosomal RNA, internal transcribed spacer 2, and large subunit ribosomal RNA
Rfam family: 5.8S ribosomal RNA (bases 1-120)
Source: RNAcentral